Mesocricetus auratus (golden hamster) is the source of this 550-nucleotide long non-coding RNA. RefSeq lists it as uncharacterized. Lineage: Eukaryota; Metazoa; Chordata; Mammalia; Rodentia; Cricetidae. The record is from RefSeq and is a predicted model, not a curated record. The transcript is spliced from 2 exons.
UGCUACCGUCUCUGCAGAUCUGUCUCCUUUCCUAGUCCCUGUGUAUGAUCCAUUUACCUAACUAAAAACCCCUCUGCGUGAACCCUGCUGCAUGGCGUCUUCUCUCGAGCCACUUUCCUUAAAAUUAUAGCAGGAUCAAACAUCGCCCAUGCCUCUUCUUCACUGUGCCCAUCCCUUCCUGUUUCCUAGGCGCAGAGAAGUUGAAGAUCACCGCAAAAGACUGAGGUGGUUCCGGAGAGCCCCUUGCAGCUGUGGAGUAGGAGCACGGCCUGCCUAGUCAUUUACACACUGUCUACUAAGUGCUCCCGUGCCUCAGUGCUCCUCUAUGGUCCGCCGCUUCACGUCCAUGUCCAAAAAAUAACAUCCACAUGAUGGAGUUUUCAUGAAGACUUGAAUAAAUAAUGCAGAUGGAGAAAGACCUACCACAGACUCUGCCUGUUCCCUGUGCUUAACAGAUGACAAUGAUUGUUAUUAUUUCUAAAUAUUAUGCAACCUAAAACAACAUCUUAAUGGCACCAAUUAAGUGAUUAAAAUAAACUAGCUAAAGACA